Molecule: ribosomal RNA, 757 nt
Filed under: uncultured archaeon
Lineage: Archaea
Description: bacterial SSU rRNA
Rfam family: Archaeal small subunit ribosomal RNA
Source: RNAcentral
UAUCGGAUUGAUACUAAGCCAUGCGAGUCAUUGUAGCAAUACAAGGCAUACGGCUCAGUAACGCGUAGUCAACCUAACCUAUGGACGGAAAUAACCUCGGGAAACUGAGAAUAAUGUCCGAUAGAACACUAUACCUGGAAUGGUUUGUGUUCCAAAUGAUUUAUCGCCGUAGGACGGGACUGCGGCCUAUCAGUUUGUUGGUGAGGUAAUGGCCCACCAAGACUAUUACAGGUACGGGCUCUGAGAGGAGUAGCCCGGAGAUGGGUACUGGGACACGGACCCAGGCCCUAUGGGGCGCAGCAGGCGAGAAAACUUUGCAAUGUGCGAAAGCACGACAAGGUUAAUCCGAGCGAUUUGUGCUAAACGAAUCUUUUGUUAGUCUUAGAACCACUAACGAAUAAGGGGUGGGCAAGUUCUGGUGUCAGCCGCCGCGGUAAAACCAGCACCUCAAGUGGUCAGGAUGAUUAUUGGGCCUAAAGCAUCCGUAGCCGGCUCUGUAAGUUUUCGGUUAAAUCUGUACGCUCAACGUACAGGCUGCCGGGAAUACUGCAGAGCUAGGGAGUGGGAGAGGUAGACGGUACUCGGAAGGAAGGGGUAAAUCCUUUGAUCUUUUGAUGACCAUCUGUGGCGAAGGCGGUCUACCAGAACACGUCCGACGGUGAGGGAUGAAAGCUGGGGGAGCAAACCGGAUUAAAUACCCGGGUAGUCCCAGCUGUAACUAUGCAACUCAGUGAUGCAUUGACUUGUGGUCAAUGCA